CUUCUAGAAGUUGCCAUCUUUCUUCACAUGCUCUGCUGUACAAGAUUAUCUAAACUUCUACUAUAGGCUGCAUAGCCGAUCACCACUUUCUCUCGCUUUGAACCAGGAUCAUCACAGAACAACCAGUUUGUCUGCUUCUUUGGAAACCCAUAAUAGCAUCUACCACAGAAGGAGGAUGGAUGGGCCGAGGAUUGGACGCAUAGUAGAUUUUGUGACAUCAUGUAUACCUAGCACUUGGAAUUAGUAGGGGAGUAGGGUGGAUCGAUACUUGUGACACUCUCUGUGUAUGGAAAUUAUUAAUAAUAGAUGUAACAGUAUAUGUUAAUUGCUUAGAGAGAUUCUCUGUAUUUUUAUGGAUAAGACUGACACCCCCUGAAUAUGUGAUGGUAUAUUCUGGGUUUUGAUCCUGAUAUCAUCAGGGUUUUCUUGAGCACAUGCACUGGGCACUUUAUCACAUCUGUCUCCUAUGGUUUACUCUCUUUUCACACACACUUGCACUUUAUAUCUGUUGAUAUCAGAAUCAAACCUAGGGUAGAAUUGGGUUUUAGAUGAUUAUAACAUCUCUUAUGGGCGUGACUAAUAAUGUCAGUAGUGUUUAUGCACAGUGGACUCUGGGUGUGACAUAUGUGUAUAUACAAUUACACGUGUGCCGCGACCUGGGUGGAUUGUGCAUACACUACCUUUGGGUAUU
This is a long non-coding RNA of Bufo gargarizans (Asiatic toad), 691 nucleotides long. RefSeq lists it as uncharacterized. The transcript is spliced from 3 exons. The record is from RefSeq and is a predicted model, not a curated record. Lineage: Eukaryota; Metazoa; Chordata; Amphibia; Anura; Bufonidae.